UAUCUUACCUCCUAUACAUUUCCAGGAAUAUGAUUGGUUAAAAGGGUCCGCGUGCAAAAUAUUAUAUUAGGUUAGUAGGGAGGCGGGGCUUAUCUCAUACACGGUUAGUAGUGGAGUUACGUCCCUUUAUAUUUCUUAUUAGGUAAGAAGGGGGCGGGGCUGAUUUCAUACACGGUUAGUAAUGGUGUAAUGUCCCUUUAUAAAAAACAAAACGGUACUGAGAAAAAAUCUUAAAAGUUCGAACAGACGAAGCAAUUGAUGAUUAAGAUUGAAACAAAUUCAUAAAACACAUUUAAACCUUACAAGUCGUUAUUGUUGGCAUCUGUUUUUGUAGGAUCAAUGGAAGUAUUUUCUUAGUGCUAACAUAUUGAAGACUUGCUCAUUUUGAGAAUCACUAGUCUUACUUUCACACGUUAAGAUAGUCGGUAAGAUAAAUUCGUUACAUAGUGUGCUAGUGACGUAAUACGGUAUAUAUGGGGUCAGUAAAUUCCAU
RNAcentral lists this long non-coding RNA (493 nucleotides) under Mytilus galloprovincialis (Mediterranean mussel). The record is from RNAcentral. Lineage: Eukaryota; Metazoa; Mollusca; Bivalvia; Mytilida; Mytilidae.